ACUCUAUAAUGCAGUCGAGCGCAGGAGCCGUCUGAACCCUUCGGGGGGACGACGGUGGAAUGAGCGGCGGACGGGUGAGUAACACGUAAAGAACCUGCCCAUAGGUCUGGGAUAACCACGAGAAAUCGGGGCUAAUACCGGAUGUGUCAUCGGACCGCAUGGUCCGCUGAUGAAAGGCGCUUCGGCGUCGCCCAUGGAUGGCUUUGCGGUGCAUUAGCUAGUUGGUGGGGUAACGGCCCACCAAGGCGACGAUGCAUAGCCGACCUGAGAGGGUGAUCGGCCACACUGGGACUGAGACACGGCCCAGACUCCUACGGGAGGCAGCAGUAGGGAAUCUUCCACAAUGGACGAAAGUCUGAUGGAGCAACGCCGCGUGAACGAUGAAGGCUUUCGGGUCGUAAAGUUCUGUUGUAAGGGAAGAACAAGUGCCGCAGGCAAUGGCGGCACCUUGACGGUACCUUGCGAGAAAGCCACGGCUAACUACGUGCCAGCAGCCGCGGUAAUACGUAGGUGGCAAGCGUUGUCCGGAAUUAUUGGGCGUAAAGCGCGCGCAGGCGGCCUCUUAAGUCUGAUGUGAAAGCCCCCGGCUCAACCGGGGAGGGCCAUUGGAAACUGGGAGGCUUGAGUAUAGGAGAGAAGAGUGGAAUUCCACGUGUAGCGGUGAAAUGCGUAGAGAUGUGGAGGAACACCAGUGGCGAAAGCGACUCUUUGGCCUAUAACUGACGCUGAGGCGCGAAAGCGUGGGGAGCAAACAGAUUAGAUACCCUGGUAGUCCACGCCGUAACGAUGAGUGCUAGGUGUUGGAGGGUUUCCGCCCUUCAGUGCUGAGCUACGCAUAGCACUCGCCUGGGGAGUACGUCGCAGCUGAACUCAAGGAAUGACGGGACCCCGCACAAGCGUG
This 901-nucleotide ribosomal RNA is filed under the name Exiguobacterium sp. DItb1006-2. RNAcentral's name for it is "bacterial SSU rRNA". It matches the Rfam family "Bacterial small subunit ribosomal RNA", at positions 48 to 933 of the family's 1533-position model. The record is from RNAcentral. Lineage: Bacteria; Bacillati; Bacillota; Bacilli; Caryophanales.